Long non-coding RNA from Ornithodoros turicata, 2075 nucleotides. RefSeq lists it as uncharacterized. The transcript is spliced from 3 exons. The record is from RefSeq and is a predicted model, not a curated record. Lineage: Eukaryota; Metazoa; Arthropoda; Arachnida; Ixodida; Argasidae.
GCUCGAUCACGUCGUGCAUUGUCUGUGUGGUUGCAACUAACGGACAUUUUGAUUUUGGCGUGGCAUGCAAGAAGACAUUGUCGUUGCUUUGAAAGGCUAGUGUACGGGUUGUAGGUGAAGACAUCAACCAACUGUCAAGUUUGUACAGCUGUGUUUGCCGGUUGGGGCAUGCGUCUACUUCUGGCGUGAAGCAAACAGCCACCAAAAUACAGGUAGGAGUUCAUCUGGCUGGCCAUCUUAGCGCUACACAUGAAGGACUAGUGGACGUCUAGUAUCAAUGCUACAGUACAGCAACUGCGCACAUUCGCGGCCAUGUCAACAUCUAACUUGAACUUCGGCGGAUCUGUUGGCAGCUUCCUGAUCCCCAAGGUUGCGGGAUCGAUCCCAGCAGAGGACGCCAGCAACUCGGUGGCAGUGUACAAGUUGCUCAGACACGCAGUCUUCUGCGAGGGACUUUCAAAUCGGUGCACCGUGUGCUGAGAUAUCGUCCCCCACGAGAUGGCCCUCAGGCAUCGGACUGACCAAGGAAUCCUGGCGGGGCUGACACUGUCCGGAAGUCGUGGUACACCGAAAGGAAGUGCGAGACGUAAGCAGGAACUCGGGUUCGGCGUCAAACGCGCGCCUUCAGGAUCUUUUAUCGUACGCAUCAUCCACCCCAUCGGACCGAAGUCUUUCUUUAUCUGCUGGGAAAUGCACGUUGAGCCUUCAUGAUCAGUAUGGGUCUGCUAAGCACACCACACACAGGCACACGCACGCACACAGAGUGUCCAAGCAAACGUGCACCGGGAUAUAGAAAAAAACACGGUGCGUCAGAAGCGAAUGAAAACUGCAGAAUAAAUGUGAGGAGUCGCGUGGGCUAAUCGCCAGUAUUCAUUGUGUAUGAUUAAUUAAUUAGGCGCAACUAAUUAGCUAAAUUUUUAAUUAUUAUUCUUACGACCAAGAUAUGAAUUGGAAAGUUGUAGAGCGUGUCGAGAAACAACCAUCGCAUUCCUAGAGCGUACCUUUGCGUAGACCUUUUUUUUUUUUUUUUUUUUCUGGUAAGAAAGAACGCGCGCAAAAUCGGAAAGUGUAGCACGUGAGACGGAGGCGUGCACCUCGAUUUCACAGCUCCCAAGCGCACAGAAGAACCACUACAUCCGUUUUCUGUCGGGAGGCGACCUUCAGAUGAGCACUCACCUGAAGGUCGCUCCUCGGCAGAUAACGAAUGAAGAUAACUGAUGGCAGAUAACUCGGCAGAUAACCUAAACGCCUUGAAUAUUCCUUGGACGCUCUGAGGCAAAUGGCACAAUUCCUUCUCGGUCACAGAAUAUCACAGCCUUGCAACCGAGGGCCCAGAAUCCUGUAACUUUCCCACAAAUGAAACAGCGCACUUAAAAGCGCACCAAACUGCGCGCUUUUUCCUUCUUGUGAUUAUCAUGCCCCGUAAAAUAUUAAUGUUAAUAAUUGGGGGGUUUACGUCGCGAGACAACUGAGAUCAUAAGCGACGCCACAGCGGUCGGUCUGUGGAUUGCUUUUGCCCACCUGAGGGUUCUUUAACGUGCGAUGAAAGCUCAAAGCCCGUAUUUAACGUCCCUCGCGGAAGACUGCGUGGAUAAGCAACUUGUACCCUGCCACCAAGUUGCUGGCGUCCUCGGCCGGGUUCGAACCCGCGAUAUCGGGAUCAGAAGGCGAACACGCUACCGACUGAGCCACCGAGGCCGGUGCCCCGUAAAAGAAUGUAGCUCAUAAUACACAAACAUGCGACUGGUUUAACUCUAAGGAGCGUGUUUACCAAGAGACGAUGCUAUUGGAGAAGUACUGAGCGGCCUUUUCCCUUCUUCCCGUCGUCACUCGUCUACGUCCCCAACUUUCAACGUAUAUGGCAACGCCGCAUCUCAUGCACUCCAAAGUAGGGAUGUUUCGUUAUGGCGAGCCUCAGCGCGAGAAUGCACCCAUCGUUAGUACACCGCAGUGGUCCUGCCAGAACGCACAUGGUAUUAUGGAAAUGGCAAUGUCGGAUAUCCAACCCACUUCGAGGAGUUAUACAGCGCUGAAAAUAAAGUACGUAAAGUAAACAGAAAUUGAACAUUGCGGAC